Molecule: ribosomal RNA, 301 nt
Filed under: uncultured bacterium
Lineage: Bacteria
Description: partial 16S ribosomal RNA
Rfam family: Bacterial small subunit ribosomal RNA
Source: RNAcentral
CAGUAGCCGCGGUAAUACGAGGGGGGCGAGCGUUGUUCGGAAUUAUUGGGCGUAAAGGGUGCGUAGGCGGUUCGGUAAGUCUUAUGUGAAAUCUUCGGGCUCAACCCGAAGUCUGCAUGAGAAACUGCCGGGCUUGAGUGUGGGAGAGGUGAGUGGAAUUUCCGGUGUAGCGGUGAAAUGCGUAGAUAUCGGAAGGAACACCUGUGGCGAAAGCGGCUCACUGGACCACAACUGACGCUGAUGCACGAAAGCUAGGGGAGCAAACAGGAUUAGAGACCCCUGUAGUCCCUGUCUCUUAUAC